Long non-coding RNA from Zophobas morio, 330 nucleotides. RefSeq lists it as uncharacterized. NCBI's taxonomy places the organism in Eukaryota, Metazoa, Arthropoda, Insecta, Coleoptera, Tenebrionidae. The transcript is spliced from 3 exons. The record is from RefSeq and is a predicted model, not a curated record.
AGUUGCAAGCGUCUCUGAAGAUACUACUAUAAAAAUUUACGAUUUUGAAACAGGAGAAUUGGAAAAAUCCUUAAAAGGGCACACCAAUAGCGUCAAUGACUUGGAUUUCGACCAAUCAGGUAAACUUCUCGCUACGUGUUCUGCCGAUCUGACCAUCAAACUUUGGGAUUUUACUUCGUAUGAAUGCAUUAAAACGCUUUACGGGCACGACCAUAACGUAUCAGGUGUUUGUUUUCAUCCAACGGGCGACCAUCUUUUUUCGGGGUCCCGUGACAGAGUCAUUAAAAAGUGGGAAGUUCGUAGCGGUUACUGUGUACAAACUUUAAUUGG